AUAUCGGGUAAAACCGAUAACCCGAACCGUUAAUUACUUAUUGGGUUAUCGGUAUUGGGUUAUUGGGCUAAUGGUUCGGUAACGGGUUAAAAAAAAUUUCUUAUUGGGUUAUCGGUUCGGGCUCGGUUUAUCAAAUCUGUUAUUGGGUAAACCGAUAACCCAAUAAGGGUUUACUAAUUUACUAGUAUACCCUUUAGUCUAGUAAUACUAGGGUUUCAUUUUCAUUAGUCUGUCCGCCUCCUCUCAGCCUCACUAACUCCUUUCCUUUCCUCAGUUUCCUGUUCUUGAAGUCCUCACUCCUCAGUUAAGCUCACUCCGGGGCAUAUGUGUUUAUGUUUAUUAGGAGGCUCUUCAAUUUUUUCUUUUUUACUUUGAGAAAAUGUUGUUCUUGGUGAUUCAAAGAGAUAGAAUGUGGAUAGCAUGCUGCAUUAUAUGAUAGGGCUGCUUCUCUCAUCUGUGCAAGAAUGAUGAGGAGGUUGUUGCUGUUAUUGCGCAUGAGCUGGGGCACUGGAAACUUAAUCACACGAUGUACUCAUUCAUAGCUGUCCAGCAUUUCCAGGUACAUAUUUCUGACACCAUGUGUUGAUGUUAAGCUUGAGGUUGGAGUUUGAAAUGAAUAAAACGAAUGCUCGUCUGCUUCACAAUAUCUAUGCUCAAGAUGUAGUAAUAGGAUGAAUGAUAAAAUAGUUUGUGAUUGUUUAAGCUCAUCCUAAUUGUAUUUACUUUGUGUGAAUCGGAACGUACUCAGACGCGAUUUUGGGACUGUUAAAUAACACGGUGCUAGAUCGAUUAGACAUGUUUUCAUAUGUUUUAGCAAUCUAGUUUGGUUGGUAAUGAUUAUAUAACACAGAACAUUAGCGGGCGUUUGUAUGUA
This is a non-coding RNA of Nicotiana tabacum (common tobacco), 874 nucleotides long. The record is from RefSeq and is a predicted model, not a curated record. Lineage: Eukaryota; Viridiplantae; Streptophyta; Magnoliopsida; Solanales; Solanaceae.